UGAGGAACAUGACCUUCGGCGGGGGAUAGCCGGCCCAACGGCCGGGUAAUACCGCGUACGACCUUCCGGGGACAUCCCUGGAUGGUGAAAGCAGCAAUGCGCCGAUGGAGUGCCUCGCGGCCUAUCAGCUAGUUGGUGAGGUAACGGCUCACCAAGGCGACGACGGGUAGCUGGUCUGAGAGGAUGGCCAGCCCACAGUUGGGACUGAGACACGGCCCAGACCUCCGUACGGGAGCCAG
RNAcentral lists this ribosomal RNA (239 nucleotides) under uncultured bacterium. RNAcentral describes it as "partial 16S ribosomal RNA". It matches the Rfam family "Bacterial small subunit ribosomal RNA", at positions 118 to 351 of the family's 1533-position model. The record is from RNAcentral.